GCCGCGUUGGCGUAGUGGUAGCGCGUCUCACUUGUAUUUACUAAUAGGAAUUAACCUGUCGUUGCAAUGAGAAGGUCACUCGUUCAAUCCGGGUACGUGGCA
This 102-nucleotide transfer RNA is filed under the name Hypsizygus marmoreus. It matches the Rfam family "tRNA". Rfam says of the family: Transfer RNA (tRNA) molecules are approximately 80 nucleotides in length. Their secondary structure includes four short double-helical elements and three loops (D, anti-codon, and T loops). Further hydrogen bonds mediate the characteristic L-shaped molecular structure. tRNAs have two regions of fundamental functional importance: the anti-codon, which is responsible for specific mRNA codon recognition, and the 3' end, to which the tRNAs corresponding amino acid is attached (by aminoacyl-tRNA synthetases). tRNAs cope with the degeneracy of the genetic code in two manners: having more than one tRNA (with a specific anti-codon) for a particular amino acid; and 'wobble' base-pairing, i.e. permitting non-standard base-pairing at the 3rd anti-codon position. The record is from Rfam by way of RNAcentral. Lineage: Eukaryota; Fungi; Basidiomycota; Agaricomycetes; Agaricales; Lyophyllaceae.